UACGUAGGGUGCGAGCGUUAUUCGGAAUUACUGGGCGUAAAGGGUGCGCAGGCGGCCAUGUAAGACAGUUGUGAAAUCCCCGGGCUCAACCUGGGAACUGCAUCUGUGACUGCAUCGCUGGAGUGCGGCAGAGGGGGUUGGAAUUCCGCGUGUAGCAGUGAAAUGCGUAGAUAUGCGGAGGAACACCGAUGGCGAAGGCAAUCCCCUGGGCCUGCACUGACGCUCAUGCACGAAAGCGUGGGGAGCAAACAGG
Molecule: ribosomal RNA, 253 nt
Filed under: uncultured bacterium
Lineage: Bacteria
Description: partial 16S ribosomal RNA
Rfam family: Bacterial small subunit ribosomal RNA
Source: RNAcentral